RNA transcript from Lethenteron reissneri (Far Eastern brook lamprey), 2797 nucleotides. It is a transcript of the gene named U8 snoRNA-decapping enzyme-like, with no coding region annotated. The record is from RefSeq and is a predicted model, not a curated record. Lineage: Eukaryota; Metazoa; Chordata; Hyperoartia; Petromyzontiformes; Petromyzontidae.
UCGUCGUACGCGCAGUGUUGGAGCGAGCAGUGGCCGCUAAAAAAUAUUCACACGAGCAACGUUGCGAAUGGAUUGAAUGAACGCGACACGUUGAAGGAACGAAGGAAGGAAGGAGUGGAAUGACUCAAAGGCUCACCUUGGUUUAAACCAUGGUGUUGCGAUGGGUGUUGGGGCCGCUGAGCGUGGCCAUGGCUGAGAAGGCUCGCUACAGGCGGGUGGAGAGGGCCCAUGCGUUGGGCCUGCGUGGCUUCAAACACGCGUCCCAUGCCAUGCUCUACGCACCCAGCGAUGAGAUGCUCUUCGGCCGCAUCCCCUUACGCUACGCCGUGCUGAUGCAGAUGCGCUUUGACGGGACCCUGGGCUUCCCCGGCGGCUUCUUGGACCCAGGGGAGGCAUGCCUGGAGGACGGCCUCAACCGUGAGCUGCAGGAGGAGGUGGGCUGCACCGUGCGGCUCACGGAGGCAGACUACCUGUGUUCGCACAUGUGCCAGCACCCGCGGCCCAUCGUCAACCACCUGUACGCUCGUAAGCUCACGCUGACCGAGCUGCGGGCCUUGGAGGUGAGCGCUGUUCAGGCGCGGGAUCAUGGAGGAGAGGUGCUGGGGAUGGUGAGGGUGCCUCUGUACACCCUCCGCGGGGGGCGAGGCGGGCUGCCCCUAUUCCUGAGGAACCGCUUCAUCGGCAACGCACGUGACCAGCUCCUCUACGCCCUGCGCAAGCUCGGCAUCAUGACUCCCGAGGAGCUGCAGGCUGCCGAGGAUGCCAGCAGAGCCAAUUGAGCCGCUUGGGACGGAACACCUCCUCCCACAAUGCCGCCCGCUCACGUUGACGAGUGAAAGGCAGUUCUGGCAACUGGCUCACAACAAGACGAGCACACACAUGCGGUGAUUGUACAGCAGCGAUGGACCUUCGCGAUUUCCGCCACCGCUCCGACUCCUGCGCACGGCUCUGCUCGGCUAGUCUGGAACGUGGUCGAAACUCACGGUCCACUGGCAAACGAUAACAAGCCGCAUGUGCAAGAAGAAUACAGUGCAAAUUAGAAGCGUGCAGCGAAGAGGGUUGGACCUGACGGUCCUCCGGCGAGCUAAUUGCUUAGAGCCGCGCUGGGUCACUCGUCCACACAGCUGAGAGGAGAAGGAGUAGCGGACAAGAGGUGGCCACAAUGCAUCCUGGAACAACAAUGCUGAGCAACGCAAAGUGGCGAACGGCUCAGCGUCUGCAUGUGAGCGGAAGAGGCGUCCACGCGCAUGUUCGGCUGCCUCCCAUCGAGCCACUCAAUGGGGCUACGGCUGCGAGCACCGUCCCAGUGGAAACAUCGGCCUGUGGAACCUACAGCAGGGCGGGAUUUUUCCGAGCACGGAGUCUGUCGCAUUCCGAAGACCGCCGGGGGACUGGAGGACGAGACGCGUGCUCGAGCAAUGAACGGGAGGCGCUGCUUAAGUCAAAAACUGUUUUAGACUUGACCAAAGGCAAUGGCAAACCCUUGCCACCUCGCGAACGUUUUCAAGCCAUAGCAAUGAAAACCAUCGGUCAAAAGACGAAAUGUUUAUCAGGUAACCACGACUGCGUGCCUCCACAUGCACAUCAACAGCACUUCACCCAGCAUUUCCAGGAAGAUGACAGCACGCAAAAUAUCAGCGAGGUCAGGUCCGAGCAACGACGAGCCCUCGGGAAGAGCUCCCCUGACGAACAGCGCUGCCACAAUUCCUGCUCAUAACUCCUCCGCCGACCUUGACACUCUCGACGCAGCCAGGCCAAAUGGAACACGAGUGGAAUCCACGGGGAGCCACGGCUCGCUUACAGAACACACGGACGAAGGAACGGCAACGCGCGGAGCUGACAUGCGUACGAGGCGCUCCGUGAAAAAGCCCCUCAAAUCCUCCCUGAAGAAGUCCUUCGACUGGAAGGCCCAUUCCUUGAAGGGCGACAAAGGCUCGGCCAAACGGUGGGGCGGCGCGGCCGAAGGGCAGCGCGGGCGCGUCGAGGGAGGCGCCGAGCAGCGUCCCCGACACACAUUCACGGAGCGUGGGCAGUGCAGCCCGUGCUCCCCCUCCAGGCGUCAACGCGACGACGCCACGCCGGCUUGCCGGGCGCACGGUGGCGCUCGGCAGCCCGGCGGGACGCGCCGCCCGUGCUCGCUUCGCGUGGCUCGCAGCGUCGCCAGCGCGUGCGAGGCGUCCCCGAGGGAGGACGGGAAUCGCCGCGACGGAGGCUGUCUCCCGAGCGGGUGCCCAAGCCCCGACGUGAACGCUAACGGGGCCGCGGGGUGCGGGCCGCCGGCGGCGCGACCUUCGCGAGGCGUGCGCGGGGAGUUGGUUCUACACGAGCCGGGAGAGUUCGCCGGCGUGCCGGUGCCCAGGAUAACGAUGACGUGCGCAACUCCGCCGCCAGCGCUCUCGGCCACGGGGGACGGCGAGUUUGCCGGGCAGUAGGGUACCGUGUCAUCCAGCGCUCGACGUGGAUACGAAUUUUGACCGGUCGGUGCAUUUUACGCGCUGAAUGUUUUUUUUAUGUGGAAGAUGAAAGUGGCCAUGGAGAAGCUUGAAUGGGUUCUGGUGGUCACGACGCACGUGUAAAACCGCGCGUGUAAGAAUAAUAAUUUAUUUACGGUUUGUAUAUGGUGUAUGUGUGGUUGGGUCACGUGUCCCCUCGCAGUCGGCUCUGCUAAUGAGAUUCCAUAGGCCCUGCGAUGGCAAAAAUGCAUCGAUUCCUGAAUCCAAUUGUGAACACGGAUCAUUCAAAUGGAUCGAGUCAUCAACUACAAUCAAGAACAUUUUAUCAAUUUGCUACGCGAGUG